CGAAGACUCGAUUGUGAGCCCUCGGAUGGCAUUGACCAUCCAAACUCCUCGCUAGUCGAGGAGCUGCUCGUAAUAGAGCAGAGCCGUCGCCCCACCAUUAGCCUGGUGGAAGCGACCUCCAGAUUUAACUGGAGAGUUUGAUCCUGGCUCAGAACGAACGUUAGCGGCGCGCCUAACACAUGCAAGUCGAGCGAGAAAGGGCUUCGGCCCCGGUAAAGCGGCGCACGGGUGAGUAACACGUAGGCAAUCUGCCUCGAGGUGGUGGAUAACCCUCCGAAAGGAGGGCUAAUACAGCAUGAGACCACGUCGUCGAAAGACGAUGCGGCCAAAGCCGGCCUCUUCAUGAAAGCUGGCGCCACGAGAUGAGCCUGCGGCCCAUCAGCUAGUUGGUAGGGUAACGGCCUACCAAGGCAAAGACGGGUAGCUGGUCUGAGAGGAUGAUCAGCCACACUGGAACUGAGACACGGUCCAGACUCCUAC
RNAcentral lists this ribosomal RNA (480 nucleotides) under uncultured bacterium. RNAcentral describes it as "bacterial SSU rRNA". The stretch from base 126 to 480 matches the Rfam family "Bacterial small subunit ribosomal RNA", at positions 1 to 342 of the family's 1533-position model. The record is from RNAcentral.